Molecule: long non-coding RNA, 200 nt
Filed under: Medicago truncatula (barrel medic)
Lineage: Eukaryota; Viridiplantae; Streptophyta; Magnoliopsida; Fabales; Fabaceae
Description: long non-coding RNA (MTRU_LNC007137)
Source: RNAcentral
CCAAAUUUAACCAACACCCUUAUGUUAAAUCAAAAUCAGAAGUUAUAUAAUUUAUAAUUAUUGAGAGUUAGUCUCACCCUUACCUUAAUUUAUGAAUCAAAGCUCUACAAAAUCGAGCAUCUUUCUCUCUUGGCUCUUCUCCCUUUUUCUCCCAAAAGCUCUUGUUUCUACGUGAAAAUUGUUUCUCUGACUCUUGGUUC